Molecule: non-coding RNA, 47 nt
Filed under: Trypanosoma brucei brucei
Lineage: Eukaryota; Euglenozoa; Kinetoplastea; Trypanosomatida; Trypanosomatidae
Source: RNAcentral
AUAUAAAUCCAAUAAAAUGAAAUAGAAUCUGAGAGACUAUGAUUUAU